UGGGGAAUAUUGCACAAUGGGGGAAACCCUGAUGCAGCGACGCCGCGUGAACGAAGAAGGUAUUCGUAUCGUAAAGUUCUGUCCUAUGGGAAGAUAAUGACAGUACCAUAGAAGAAAGCUCCGGCUAAAUACGUGCCAGCAGCCGCGGUAAUACGUAUGGAGCGAGCGUUGUUCGGAAUUAUUGGGCGUAAAGGGUACGCAGGCGGUUUAAUAAGUCGAAUGUUAAAGAUCGGGGCUCAACCCCGUAAAGCAUUGGAAACUGAUAAACUUGAGUAGUGGAGAGGAAAGUGGAAUUCCUAGUGUAGUGGUGAAAUACGUAGAUAUUAGGAGGAAUACCAGUAGCGAAGGCGACUUUCUGGACACAAACUGACGCUGAGGUACGAAAGCGUGGGGAGCAAACAGG
RNAcentral lists this ribosomal RNA (403 nucleotides) under bacterium. Its description in RNAcentral is "partial 16S ribosomal RNA". It matches the Rfam family "Bacterial small subunit ribosomal RNA", at positions 355 to 776 of the family's 1533-position model. The record is from RNAcentral.